UUACUUGGAUAACUGUGGUAAUUCUAGAGCUAAUACAUGCAAACAGAGCUCCGACCGGAGACGGAAGGAGCGCUUUUAUUAGAUCAAAACCAAUCGGUGGCGGUUUCGCCGUCAUCGUACAACUUGGUGAAUCUGAAUAACUUUACGCUGAUCGCACGGUCUCGCACCGGCGACGCAUCUUUCAAAUGUCUGCCUUAUCAACUGUCGAUGGUAGGUUCUGCGCCUACCAUGGUUGUAACGGGUAACGGGGAAUCAGGGUUCGAUUCCGGAGAGGGAGCCUGAGAAACGGCUACCACAUCCAAGGAAGGCAGCAGGCGCGCAAAUUACCCACUCCCGGCACGGGGAGGUAGUGACGAAAAAUAACGAUACGGGACUCAUCCGAGGCCCCGUAAUCGGAAUGAGUACACUCUAAACCCUUUAACGAGGAUCAAUUGGAGGGCAAGUCUGGUGCCAGCAGCCGCGGUAAUUCCAGCUCCAAUAGCGUAUAUUAAAGUUGUUGCGGUUAAAAAGCUCGUAGUCGAAUUUGUGUCCCGCGCCGCCGGUUCAUCGUUCGCGGUGUUAACUGGCGUUUCGCGGGACGUCCUGCCGGUGGGCUUAGCUCGAGAGGGCGGCCCAACUCAAUCCCGCCGCGGUGCUCUUCAUUGAGUGUCGAGGUGGGCCGGCACGUUUACUUUGAACAAAUUAGAGUGCUUAAAGCAGGCUAAAACUUCGCCUGAAUACUGUGUGCAUGGAAUAAUGGAAUAGGACCUCGGUUCUAUUUUGUUGGUUUUCGGAACCCCGAGGUAAUGAUUAAUAGG
This 797-nucleotide ribosomal RNA is filed under the name Tribolium castaneum (red flour beetle). RNAcentral describes it as "SSU rRNA". It matches the Rfam family "Eukaryotic small subunit ribosomal RNA", at positions 135 to 876 of the family's 1831-position model. The record is from RNAcentral. Lineage: Eukaryota; Metazoa; Arthropoda; Insecta; Coleoptera; Tenebrionidae.